This 460-nucleotide ribosomal RNA is filed under the name uncultured bacterium. Its description in RNAcentral is "partial 16S ribosomal RNA". It matches the Rfam family "Bacterial small subunit ribosomal RNA", at positions 338 to 795 of the family's 1533-position model. The record is from RNAcentral.
CCUACGGGAGGCAGCAGUGAGGAAUAUUGGUCAAUGGACGAGAGUCUGAACCAGCCAAGUAGCGUGAAGGAUGACUGCCCUAUGGGUUGUAAACUUCUUUUAUAUGGGAAUAAAAUGUUCCACGUGUGGGAUUUUGUAUGUACCAUAUGAAUAAGGAUCGGCUAACUCCGUGCCAGCAGCCGCGGUAAUACGGAGGAUCCGAGCGUUAUCCGGAUUUAUUGGGUUUAAAGGGAGCGUAGGUGGAUUGUUAAGUCAGUUGUGAAAGUUUGCGGCUCAACCGUAAAAUUGCAGUUGAAACUGGCAGUCUUGAGUACAGUAGAGGUGAGCGGAAUUCGUGGUGUAGCGGUGAAAUGCUUAGAUAUCACGAAGAGCUCCGAUUGCGAAGGCAGUUCACUGGACUGCAACUGACACUGAGGCUCGAAAGUGUGGGUAUCAAACAGGAUUAGAUACCCGAGUAGUC